Molecule: long non-coding RNA, 448 nt
Organism: Cygnus olor (mute swan)
Lineage: Eukaryota; Metazoa; Chordata; Aves; Anseriformes; Anatidae
Exons: 4
Source: RefSeq, a predicted model, not a curated record
CUACCUCUUCUGUGCCUGGAAGUUUUGCUAUGUUCCUUGGGGAAAGGAGGCAGUUUACUCUUGCAGAGAUAUAAGGGUAUUAUGCACAACUGAGCUGUUUUAGCAUUUUUCAGGGUGAAAAACGGGAAACUUCUUGAGGCCUGGACUGUCAGACUGUGGAGAAAACCAUCAAUGCUUGGAGAAUUCCUUCUACAUCAAGACCUAAAUCUUUCUGCCUUCUUUGGAUGCUUCACUUAAAUGACUCUAAUCUAGUUCUGUCAGUCAAGUAGAUUGUCCACGAUCAUCUCUGGAAAAAGUCUGGAAAAAGCAUUCUCUGACAAAAAAGAAAAGAGCUGUCCUAUGAUAAAAUGUAUCUUGUCACCCACUGCAGCCUUCAGAAAUGUGCCCUGGCCACUAGUGUUGUAAGACAUUGAGGGAUGACAGUUACACUGCUACAUCCUGUCGCUUG